UACGUAGGUGGCGAGCGUUGUCCGGAAUUAUUGGGCGUAAAGCGCGCGCAGGCGGUCCUUUAAGUCUGAUGUGAAAGCCCACGGCUCAACCGUGGAGGGUCAUUGGAAACUGGGGGACUUGAGUGCAGAAGAGGAGAGUGGAAUUCCUCGUGUAGCGGUGAAAUGCGUAGAGAUGUGGAGGAACACCCGUGGCGAAGGCGACUCUCUGGUCUGUAACUGACGCUGAGGCGCGAAAGCGUGGGGAGCAAACAGG
RNAcentral lists this ribosomal RNA (253 nucleotides) under uncultured bacterium. Its description in RNAcentral is "partial 16S ribosomal RNA". It matches the Rfam family "Bacterial small subunit ribosomal RNA", at positions 524 to 776 of the family's 1533-position model. The record is from RNAcentral.